CCUACGGGUGGCAGCAGUCGAGAAUCAUUCACAAUGGGGGAAACCCUGAUGGUGCGACGCCGCGUGGGGGAAUGAAGGUCUUCGGAUUGUAAACCCCUGUCAUGUGGGAGCAAAUUAAAAAGAUAGUACCACAAGAGGAAGAGACGGCUAACUCUGUGCCAGCAGCCGCGGUAAUACAGAGGUCUCAAGCGGUGUUCGGAAUCACUGGGCGUAAGGCGUGCGUAGGCUGUUUCGUAAGUCGUGUGUGAAAGGCGCGGGCUCAACCCGCGGACGGCACAUGAUACUGCGAGACUAGAGUAAUGGAGGGGGAACCGGAAUUCUCGGUGUAGCAGUGAAAUGCGUAGAUAUCGAGAGGAACACUCGUGGCGAAGGCGGGUUCCUGGACAUUAACUGACGCUGAGGCACGAAGGCCAGGGGAGCGAAAGGGAUUAGAUACCCCGGUAGUC
Molecule: ribosomal RNA, 446 nt
Filed under: uncultured bacterium
Lineage: Bacteria
Description: partial 16S ribosomal RNA
Rfam family: Bacterial small subunit ribosomal RNA
Source: RNAcentral